GACUUUUCAGUUGAUGUUGAAUCUGGUUGAGUGUCCAACACAUGUCCAACAGAUUUUUAAAUACUUAUUGCUUAUUUUCAAUUUUGGAGCAGUGUUAUCACUUCGUGGUCUAUGGAGCUUAUGGCACGCCACAUGAAGCAGUUUUAUGGAACUUGGUAUGUAAGACGUGGCAUUCUGUCAUCAGGAAAGGAAGAAAAUAAAGAAAAAAAACUUUUCCCUAGUCCUCAAUAGGUCUCAUCUCUCCUUGGUCUCAUCUAGUCUACUCACUAGAACUCCGAAAUAAUUGGUAUUUUGGUGGUUGCAUUGUGGUAGUGAACUGAAGAAGCAACAUCUGGUAUACUUGUUUCUUUUCGUUUUAACAUGAUAUUCAGCAGUUUUAAUUUCUUGAAUCUUAGCCUGCAGAGGAGCUCACUUACUCUUGUGUCCCAUUAUACCAGCCUCCUCUAAAUAAAGGAUUCACCAUUAAAGUCUGAUUGAAUAAGCUACGAGGGUCAGCCGCUAAACCACACCGCCAUUGAACUGGGAUGGAUGGUGAGAGCUUCUUUCAAAGGUUUUACGGACAAGGUCGGCUGCCCGGAUGGUCUUGCCUUAUGACGAAGCGGAAAAAUGAGACAAGCGAACCAUCACUGAACCGAGAUUUCCACGAGAGGCAGAAAUCGUAAGUUGUUUAGUUGGUCAUUACCGUUUACAAAAUUCUUUUGUUGCAUUAUUUUUAACUUUGUCUAAGAAAAUUAAUAAAG
Molecule: long non-coding RNA, 740 nt
Organism: Daphnia pulicaria
Lineage: Eukaryota; Metazoa; Arthropoda; Branchiopoda; Diplostraca; Daphniidae
Exons: 4
Source: RefSeq, a predicted model, not a curated record